UACGUAGGGGCCAAGCGUUGUCCGGAAUUAUUGGGCGUAAAGGGCGCGUAGGCGGUUUGUUAAGUCGGAUGUUAAAUCUGCAGGCUCAACCUGCAGCCGCAUCCGAUACUGGCAGGCUGGAGAAUGGUAGAGGAAAGCGGAACUUUCGGUGUAGCGGUGAAAUGCGUAGAUAUCGAAAGGAACACCAGUGGCGAAGGCGGCUUUCUGGGCCAUUUCUGACGCUGAAGCGCGAAAGCCAGGGGAGCAAACGGG
RNAcentral lists this ribosomal RNA (252 nucleotides) under uncultured bacterium. RNAcentral's name for it is "partial 16S ribosomal RNA". It matches the Rfam family "Bacterial small subunit ribosomal RNA", at positions 524 to 776 of the family's 1533-position model. The record is from RNAcentral.